Molecule: ribosomal RNA, 433 nt
Filed under: uncultured bacterium
Lineage: Bacteria
Description: partial 16S ribosomal RNA
Rfam family: Bacterial small subunit ribosomal RNA
Source: RNAcentral
AACGAACGCUGGCGGCAUGCCUAACACAUGCAAGUCGAACGAGACCUUCGGGUGUAGUGGCGCACGGGUGCGUAACGUGUGGGAACCUUCCCUUAGGCUCGGAAUAACUCCCCGAAAGGGGUGCUAACACCGGAUAAUGUCUUCGGACCAAAGAUUUAUCGUCCUGGGAUGGGCCCGCGUUGUAUUAGCUAGUUGGUAGGGUAAGAGCCUACCAAGGCGUCGAUCCAUAGCUGGUCUGAGAGGAUGAGCAGCCACACUGGGACGGAGACACGGCCCAGACUCCUACGGGAGGCAGCAGUGGGGAAUAUUGGACAACGGGCGAAAGCCUGAUCCAGCACUGCCGCGUGAGUGAUGAAGUCCUUAGGGUUGUAAAGCUCUUUUACCCGGGAUGAUAAUGACAGUACCGGGAGAAUAAGCUCCGGCUAACUCCGUG